UACGUAGGGUGCGAGCGUUGUCCGGAAUUAUUGGGCGUAAAGGGCUCGUAGGCGGUCUGUCGCGUCGGGAGUGAAAACUCAGGGCUUAACCCUGAGCCUGCUUCCGAUACGGGCAGACUAGAGGUAUGCAGGGGAGAACGGAAUUCCUGGUGUAGCGGUGGAAUGCGCAGAUAUCAGGAGGAACACCGGUGGCGAAGGCGGUUCUCUGGGCAUUACCUGACGCUGAGGAGCGAAAGUGUGGGGAGCGAGCAGG
Molecule: ribosomal RNA, 253 nt
Filed under: uncultured bacterium
Lineage: Bacteria
Description: partial 16S ribosomal RNA
Rfam family: Bacterial small subunit ribosomal RNA
Source: RNAcentral